This 429-nucleotide ribosomal RNA is filed under the name Chloroflexota bacterium. RNAcentral's name for it is "Chloroflexi bacterium partial 16S ribosomal RNA". It matches the Rfam family "Bacterial small subunit ribosomal RNA", at positions 355 to 776 of the family's 1533-position model. The record is from RNAcentral. Lineage: Bacteria; Bacillati; Chloroflexota.
UGGGGAAUAUUGCACAAUGGGCGCAAGCCUGAUGCAGCCAUGCCGCGUGUGUGAAGAAGGCCUUCGGGUUGUAAAGCACUUUCAGCGGGGAGGAAGGCGUUAAGGUUAAUAACCUUGGCGAUUGACGUUACCCGCAGAAGAAGCACCGGCUAACUCCGUGCCAGCAGCCGCGGUAAUACGGAGGGUGCAAGCGUUAAUCGGAAUUACUGGGCGUAAAGCGCACGCAGGCGGUCUGUCAAGUCGGAUGUGAAAUCCCCGUGCUCAACCUGGGAACUGCAUUCGAAACUGGCAGGCUAGAGUCUUGUAGAGGGGGGUAGAAUUCCAGGUGUAGCGGUGAAAUGCGUAGAGAUCUGGAGGAAUACCGGUGGCGAAGGCGGCCCCCUGGACAAAGACUGACGCUCAGGUGCGAAAGCGUGGGGAGCAAACAGG